Long non-coding RNA from Helianthus annuus (common sunflower), 1431 nucleotides. RefSeq lists it as uncharacterized. Lineage: Eukaryota; Viridiplantae; Streptophyta; Magnoliopsida; Asterales; Asteraceae. The record is from RefSeq and is a predicted model, not a curated record. The transcript is spliced from 4 exons.
CAAAAAAAAAAAAAAAAAAAAAAAAAACUGCACCGCUCCUGUUAUAAACUCCCCACCAUCACCACCGCUCUCCUUAAUUGCCAUCCACUUCCCCGUCGUCAUCAUCAACGCCGAGUUCCAAGUCGGUGGCAAGAGUUGCUUUGGUUCACCACAGGUUGAUGGAAGACAAACCUAUUUGUUUUAUCAUUUUCCUAAUGCAAUUGCUACUAUAAGAAGAUGAAAUCGAGAUGGAAGACAAACCUAAAGAGGAACAGGUGACCGAGAUGGAUUGAAAUCAGCCGGGGACAACAGUGGGGAGAAAAUUGAAAUAUAUGAAACAAAAAACGACCCUGAAGAACCAACAAGCUUCAAGAAACACUAUAUCUAAAAGAUCCACACUUUUCUUGUGUAUCUGUAGUUUUGUGCUGGAUUACUCUUCACCAAAAGAAAUGCAGGGAAAUUGGAUUUGCUAGAGUUACAAUUGUGAUUUAUGCUUAAUGGGCUUUCUUUAUACAACUCUUUUUGGAUGCAUUUCAGUCAAGAAUCUCAUUCCUUGUAACAAAUUUGCUCAUCAAAUUUAUGAUGUCUGAUAGGGAUCCAACCAACCAUGAAGUGAACCACGAGCUUGGGGCUCUUGUAUCGCUGGUUACACAGAAACCGAUGCUCUGGAGCAUGCCAUGAAGAAUUUAGCGGAAAUAGAAAAGCAAUAUUAGUUUUGUUGUAGAUGUGUGGGAGGGUGCAAGGAAUGAGCAUAUUUUGGUAAAUUAGCAAAUUGUAUAAUCUUUAUUAAGUUAUGACAUAGUGGAAUAGUAAUGAUUUAAUCAGAUGCAGCUUUUGUCGGUCAUUAUCACAUGAGUGUUAAUUGACGUUUUCAUUUUAAGUAGUAUGACAUGCUCUCGCGUUCCCGUAGUUCAUCGUUAUGGUUCUAUAAGUGUAGUCCGUCAUUCUUGUACUCACGAAUGGUCGCGAUCUGAACAUUUGUUUUGACCAGGUUCAUCUUUGAAAGUUCUUUAUGCAGGAGGUUAUAUCAUAAACCCAUGCAGUCCUUAAAAGCAUUGUGCUAGAGGUAUGUUACUGUCACUUAAAUAUAUUGAUAAAUGUGAAUUACUUGUGAUAUCAUAUUUCAGUUAUAAGUCAAUCCCAUAUUGUUGAAAGCUAUAGCUGUCUAACCUUUAUGUUGAUUUACUAAUUAAAUGUGGCAGGAUCCGAAAGCAGCUAAACUUCAAAGUACCACGUGCAUUUUUCUAGAAUUUUCAUAAGCUAUUUGUGCUACCUAUAAGUACCUUCAAUUGCUAUUCAUUUGUCUUUAUCUUAUAUCUCAUACUUACAUACAGUAAUAUUUGCACUAAAAUACCUGAAUCUGAGUUUAAAAGGUGUUUCAAGCUAAGGUGGUCCUACUCAUGAUGAUUUACCUAGCUUAAGGACCAAGGUACAUUCCGGUUUUUUUAUUGA